RNAcentral lists this ribosomal RNA (421 nucleotides) under uncultured bacterium. RNAcentral describes it as "bacterial SSU rRNA". It matches the Rfam family "Bacterial small subunit ribosomal RNA", at positions 362 to 775 of the family's 1533-position model. The record is from RNAcentral.
UAUUGCGCAAUGGGCGAAAGCCUGACGCAGCGACGCCGCGUGAGGGAUGAAGGUUUUCGGAUCGUAACCCUCUGUAAGAAGGGAAAAAAGUGCGUGGUGCUAAUCACCCGCGUAUUGACGGUACCCUCAAAGGAAGCACCGGCUAACUCCGUGCCAGCAGCCGCGGUAAUACGGAGGGUGCGCGCGUUAAUCGGAAUUAAUGGGCGUAAAGCGCACGUAGGCUGUUGUGUAAGUCAGGGGUGAAAUCCCACGGCUCAACCGUGGAACUGCCCUUGAUACUGCAUGACUGGAAUCCGGGAGAGGGUGGCGGAAUUCCAGGUGUAGGAGUGAAAUCCGUAGAUAUCUGGAGGAACAUCAGUGGCGAAGGCGGCCACCUGGACCGGUAUUGACGCUGAGGUGCGAAAGCGUGGGGAGCAAACAG